RNAcentral lists this ribosomal RNA (240 nucleotides) under Vibrio parahaemolyticus. RNAcentral describes it as "partial 16S ribosomal RNA". It matches the Rfam family "Bacterial small subunit ribosomal RNA", at positions 1021 to 1260 of the family's 1533-position model. The record is from RNAcentral. Lineage: Bacteria; Pseudomonadati; Pseudomonadota; Gammaproteobacteria; Vibrionales; Vibrionaceae.
CGGGAACUCUGAGACAGGUGCUGCAUGGCUGUCGUCAGCUCGUGUUGUGAAAUGUUGGGUUAAGUCCCGCAACGAGCGCAACCCUUAUCCUUGUUUGCCAGCGAGUAAUGUCGGGAACUCCAGGGAGACUGCCGGUGAUAAACCGGAGGAAGGUGGGGACGACGUCAAGUCAUCAUGGCCCUUACGAGUAGGGCUACACACGUGCUACAAUGGCGCAUACAGAGGGCAGCCAACUUGCGA